Molecule: ribosomal RNA, 466 nt
Filed under: uncultured bacterium
Lineage: Bacteria
Description: partial 16S ribosomal RNA
Rfam family: Bacterial small subunit ribosomal RNA
Source: RNAcentral
GACGAACGCUUUCCCUUUUCUUAACACAUGCAAGUCGAACGGUAAGGCCCUUUCGGGGGUACACGAGUGGCGAACGGGUGAGUAACACGUGAGUAACCUGCCCUCAUCUCUGGGAUAACAGUCGGAAACGGUUGCUAAUACUGGAUAUGAGCUUGCAAGGCAUCUUGUGGGUUGGAAAGAUUUUUUUGGUUGGGGAUGGACUCGCGGCCUAUCAGCUUGUUGGUGAGGUAGUGGCUCACCAAGGCUUCGACGGUGGUCCGGCCUGAGAGGGCGACCGGCCACAUUGGGACUGAGAUACGGCCCAAACUCCUACGGGAGGCAGCAGUGGGGAAUAUUGCACAAUGGACGGAAGUCUGAUGCAGCAACGCCGCGUGCGGGAUGACGGCAUGCGGGUUGUAAACCGCUUUCAAUUGUGACGAAGCUUUUUGUGACGGUAGCAGUAGAAGAAGCACAGGCUAACUACGGG